Molecule: ribosomal RNA, 462 nt
Filed under: uncultured bacterium
Lineage: Bacteria
Description: partial 16S ribosomal RNA
Rfam family: Bacterial small subunit ribosomal RNA
Source: RNAcentral
GACGAACGCUGGCGGCGUGCUUAACACAUGCAAGUCGAGCGGUAAGGCCUUUCGGGGUACCCGAGCGGCGAACGGGUGAGUAACACGUGGGUGAUCUGCCCUGCACUUCGGGAUAAGUCUGGGAAACUGGGUCUAAUACCUGAUAUGACCUCCUAUCGCAUGGUGGGUGGUGGAAAGAUUUAUCGGUGCAGGAUGGGCCCGCGGCCUAUCAGCUUGUUGGUGGGGUAAUGGCCUACCAAGGCGACGACGGGUAGCCGACCUGAGAGGGUGACCGGCCACACGGGGACUGAGACACGGCCCAGACUCCUACGGGAGGCAGAAGUGGGGAAUAUUGAACAAUGGGCGAAAGCCUGAGGCAGCGACGCCGCGUGAGGGAUGACGGCCUUCGGGUUGUAAACCUCUUUCAGCAGGGACGAAGCGCAAGUGACGGUACCUGCAGAAGAAGCACCGGCUAACUACGUG